ACGAACGCUGGCGGCGUGCUUCACACAUGCCAGUCGAACGGAAAGGCCCUGCUUUUGUGGGGUGCUCGAGUGGCGAACGGGUGAGUAACACGUGAGUAACCUGCCCUUGACUUUGGGAUAACUUCAGGAAACUGGGGCUAAUACCGGAUAGGAGCUCCUGCUGCAUGGUGGGGGUUGGAAAGUUUCGGCGGUUGGGGAUGGACUCGCGGCUUAUCAGCUUGUUGGUGGGGUAGCGGCUUACCAAGGCUUUGACGGGUAGCCGGCCUGAGAGGGUGACCGGCCACAUUGGGACUGAGAUACGGCCCAGACUCCUACGGGAGGCAGCAGUGGGGAAUAUUGCACAAUGGGCGGAAGCCUGAUGCAGCAACGCCGCGUGCGGGAUGACGGCCUUCGGGUUGUAAACCGCUUUCGCCUGUGACGAAGCGUGAGUGACGGUAAUGGGUAAAGAAGCACCGGCUAACUACGUG
RNAcentral lists this ribosomal RNA (467 nucleotides) under uncultured bacterium. RNAcentral describes it as "partial 16S ribosomal RNA". It matches the Rfam family "Bacterial small subunit ribosomal RNA", at positions 29 to 507 of the family's 1533-position model. The record is from RNAcentral.